This 292-nucleotide ribosomal RNA is filed under the name uncultured bacterium. RNAcentral describes it as "partial 16S ribosomal RNA". It matches the Rfam family "Archaeal small subunit ribosomal RNA", at positions 455 to 747 of the family's 1478-position model. The record is from RNAcentral.
GUGCAGCAGCCGCGGUAAUACCGGCAGCCCGAGUGAUGGCCGAUCUUAUUGGGCCUAAAGCGUCCGUAGCUGGCUGCGCAAGUCCGUCGGGAAAUCCACUCGCCCAACGAGUGGGCGUCCGGCGGAAACUCUCCGGCUUGGGACCGGAAGACCGAAGGGGUACGUCCGGGGUAGGAGUGAAAUCCUGUAAUCCUGGACGGACCACCGGUGGCGAAAGCGCCUUCGGAAGACGGAUCCGACAGUGAGGGACGAAAGCUAGGGUCUCGAACCGGAUUAGAUACCCGAGUAGUCC